ACAGUUGUAUUUCCCAUUAUUUAAGUUGAUGGAAUAAUACUUCAGGGUAAGAAUGGUAAUGGGGUGGGGGAAGAUCUACCUCAAUCCCCACCUCAUUCUCCAAUAAAUUUAAUGGGGUGGAGAUGAAGAAUCCCAUGUGGAGAAUGAUUUUGGAAUGUUUGAAAGGCUUGGAUUGUAAUUAGGUAAUUAACUCAACUUAUUAAAGAUGAUAUUGUCAUACCACAUUCAUAAUAUUUCAUUUUGAUAGAUAUUUAUGAUUUGUAAAAUAAGUUGAAUUGAUUAGGGGCCAUAUGAACUUUUUAUUAUAAAGUACCUUAAUUUAUUAACUUUUUAAAUUUAGAUAUGAUAAGUAUUGUAGUCCAUUUGAGUUUGGAUCUAAAUAUUUUUAGUUUAUACUUGAGGGGAGAAUAUGUAAUUUUUUCUGAUUUUUGUUUCACAAUUAAUUUAGCUGUGAUCAUUGUACCAAAUCAAAUAAUAAAAAAAGAAAUCAUGGGUUUAAAUUAAAAUAAAAAAAGGCAUGGGGGUGAUUAUUUGUGUGAAGAAGGAAAAAAAACAGUGAUAGACAAGGGAAAGAGAGACAUAUUAUAGAGUUAACAUCUGUUAGUUGCUUAUUAGUUAUUCCAUUUUAGUUAGCCACUAAUUCUAUAUAUUUUGAUGUCCAUGAAGAAAAAUUAAAAAUAAAUUAAAUCCUAUCCCUAAAUACAUUUAAAGGAAAAAUGUCAUAAUCUCUUACAAAUCUUGGCAAAAAUGAGAUUAAGAAAGAAUCCGAAUGAAAUUAAUCUUAUUUUAUGGGUUUUAAUUUGUUAGUUAAUUAAGCAGACCAAAUCAAGUCGAUGGGACAAUAUGAAGAUUGAAUGAAUCAUCUAGUAGGUACGGAGAUUUUAUUUUUAAUUUUAAAUACACACAAUGAAUGAAUAUGCUUGACUUGUUAAAGAUUAUUUCUUGAAUAAGUGAUAUUCAUUAUUAGUGAUAAUAAUGGGUGAUUAGUGUUAAAAAUUGUAUGUUUGUUAAGGGGUAAAAAUGUUAUUUUGUGCUAUUAUUGUAAUUUAUAUUUGUAAUUAUGUAACAUAUUGUGAAUUUCUAAUUAUUUUUCUAAGUAUUUGAUUUUGUGUAUUUUUGUGUGUUUAUUAG
RNAcentral lists this long non-coding RNA (1131 nucleotides) under Citrus x clementina. RNAcentral's name for it is "Citrus clementina (C. clementina) long non-coding RNA (CCLE_LNC005546)". Lineage: Eukaryota; Viridiplantae; Streptophyta; Magnoliopsida; Sapindales; Rutaceae. The record is from RNAcentral.